This 1104-nucleotide ribosomal RNA is filed under the name Triticum aestivum (bread wheat). Its description in RNAcentral is "partial small subunit ribosomal RNA". Lineage: Eukaryota; Viridiplantae; Streptophyta; Magnoliopsida; Poales; Poaceae. The record is from RNAcentral.
GCUUUUCUUGGGUCGGUGGGCGCUAGGGUGGAAUAGGACCGGGACCGAGGACUGCCGCGGCGGGGCGGGGUGGAGGAGGGGACGUGGGCCGCGGCGGAGCGGGGUGGGGUGGAGGAGGGGACGAGGGCCGCGGCGGAGCAAGGUGGAGGAGGGGCCGAGCGCCGCGGCGGGGCGGAGUGGAGGCCAGGAUGAGGGCCGCGGCGGGGUAGGGUGGAGGAGGAGCUGAGCGCCGCGGCGGGCCGGGGCUUGGAGGUUCGAGGGGUGUAGGCCCCCGGCGGAGCUGGGAUGGGGGAGGGAUCCAGGGCCGCGGCGGGCCGGGGGUAAGAGGGGCCCAGGGGAGCUACGGACCAGGGGUUGGAGGGGCCGAGGGCCGCGGCGGUUGGCGGGACGAGGGGACCGAGGCCAUCGACGGGGGCGGACAAGGGGAGGGCGCCCCUACUGUCGCGCUUAGGCCUGACGCACCACCCCGUCACUCAGAGCAGCCUCACCUCGAGGAGGCGGAGAUCGGUAGCCAUCAAGUAAGGGUCCCACGAGCAGCCGCUAGUGUUCUUCGUCCGGCAGUUCCUCGACCCACUGUACCACGUCGCCACACCGGUCAAGUUGAUGGACUUGACAAACUGUCCAUACUGGUCACUGUCGCUCAUCCGCCGAUCACAUGACGCCGCUCGUUCCUCUGUCUCCGUACCUCAUCUACACACACCGCUCGGCGAGUACCGGCUACGUCGCCGACAGAGAUGACGGCCGAAGGUCACGAUGGGGCGGUCAACGGCAACGGGGUGCAACACACAAAACCUCGGGGUGCAACCGGGUUCGACGAUACUACACAACAGUGGUAAAUAUUAGACAAUUUACUGGCCAUACAAGAACAACAGUCAAGUACACACAGGAACAACAGUCCAGCACAAGUAGAAAAUAUCAGUCAAGUACAUGUACACACAAACAUUAGUGCCACACAAGAUUAUUGAAGAAAGUCUUUGGUGAAACAUCGAGACAAGUCGAUACCCAAGAGGCAAGGGUCUUUCGAUUUGUAGUCAAGAAGAUUAAACAUUUCUUUUACAUCAAAAAGCCUAAUUGUAUUCUUGUGCUGAAGAAACUACAUCACGG